AGAAGCAGAAAUUUGCCAUGGGUGACAUGGAAAGAGCCAACCAAUCAGACGUCACUGAUUUCAUUCACAACUCAGAAGUGACUGACUUCAUUCUUGUAGGCAUCAAGGCAACCUCUGUCAUUGACCUCUCCUACUCCACUGUUACUGUACCUAAAGCCAUGGCCAACAUCUUAUCUUGGAAAACAGUAUCCUUUAACUAAAAUAAUAGUGCCAAAAA
Long non-coding RNA from Alexandromys fortis (reed vole), 217 nucleotides. RefSeq lists it as uncharacterized. Lineage: Eukaryota; Metazoa; Chordata; Mammalia; Rodentia; Cricetidae. The transcript has 3 exons. The record is from RefSeq and is a predicted model, not a curated record.